RNAcentral lists this ribosomal RNA (950 nucleotides) under Pseudomonas aeruginosa. Its description in RNAcentral is "bacterial SSU rRNA". It matches the Rfam family "Bacterial small subunit ribosomal RNA", at positions 135 to 1078 of the family's 1533-position model. The record is from RNAcentral. Lineage: Bacteria; Pseudomonadati; Pseudomonadota; Gammaproteobacteria; Pseudomonadales; Pseudomonadaceae.
AGUGGGGGAUAACGUCCGGAAACGGGCGCUAAUACCGCAUACGUCCUGAGGGAGAAAGUGGGGGAUCUUCGGACCUCACGCUAUCAGAUGAGCCUAGGUCGGAUUAGCUAGUUGGUGGGGUAAAGGCCUACCAAGGCGACGAUCCGUAACUGGUCUGAGAGGAUGAUCAGUCACACUGGAACUGAGACACGGUCCAGACUCCUACGGGAGGCAGCAGUGGGGAAUAUUGGACAAUGGGCGAAAGCCUGAUCCAGCCAUGCCGCGUGUGUGAAGAAGGUCUUCGGAUUGUAAAGCACUUUAAGUUGGGAGGAAGGGCAGUAAGUUAAUACCUUGCUGUUUUGACGUUACCAACAGAAUAAGCACCGGCUAACUUCGUGCCAGCAGCCGCGGUAAUACGAAGGGUGCAAGCGUUAAUCGGAAUUACUGGGCGUAAAGCGCGCGUAGGUGGUUCAGCAAGUUGGAUGUGAAAUCCCCGGGCUCAACCUGGGAACUGCAUCCAAAACUACUGAGCUAGAGUACGGUAGAGGGUGGUGGAAUUUCCUGUGUAGCGGUGAAAUGCGUAGAUAUAGGAAGGAACACCAGUGGCGAAGGCGACCACCUGGACUGAUACUGACACUGAUGUGCGAAAGCGUGCGGAGCAAACAGGAUUAGAUACCCUGGUAGUCCACGCCGUAGACGAUGUCGACUAGCCGUUGGGAUCCUUGAGAUCUUAGUGGCGCAGCUAACGCGAUAAGUCGACCGCCUGGGGAGUACGGCCGCAAGGGUAAAACUCAUAUGAAUUGACGGGGGCCCGCACAAGCGGUGGAGCAUGUGGUUUAAUUCGGAGCAACGCGUACGAACUUACCUGGCCUUGACAUGCUGAGCACUUUUCACAAGAUGGAUUGGUGCCUUUCGGGAACUCACACACAGGUGCUGCAUGGCUGUCGUCCACUCGUGUCGUGAGAUGUUUG